GAUGAACGCUGGCGGCGUGCCUAAUACAUGCAAGUCGAGCGAACAGAUGAGGAGCUUGCUCCUCUGACGUUAGCCGCGGACGGGUGAGUAACACGUGGAUAACCUACCUAUAAGACUGGGAUAACUUCGGGAAACCGGAGCUAAUACCGGAUAAUAUCUUGAACCGCAUGGUUCAAUAGUGAGAGACGGUUUUGCUGGCAGUUAUCGAUGGAUCCGCGCCGCAUUAGCUAGUUGGUAAGGUAACGGCUUACCACGGCAACGAUGCGUAGCCGACCUGCGAGGGUGAUCGGCCACCCUGGAAGGUAGACACGGACCAGACGCCUACGGGAGGCAGCAGUAGGGAAUCUUCCGCAACGGGCGAAAGCAUGACGGAGCAACGCCGCGUGAGUGACGAAGGUCUCCGGAUCGUAAAACUCUGUUAUUAGGGAAGAACAAAUGUGUAAGUAACUAUGCACUUCUUGACGGUACCUAAUCAGAAAGCCACGGCUAACUACGUG
Molecule: ribosomal RNA, 497 nt
Filed under: uncultured bacterium
Lineage: Bacteria
Description: partial 16S ribosomal RNA
Rfam family: Bacterial small subunit ribosomal RNA
Source: RNAcentral